RNAcentral lists this ribosomal RNA (301 nucleotides) under uncultured bacterium. RNAcentral describes it as "partial 16S ribosomal RNA". It matches the Rfam family "Bacterial small subunit ribosomal RNA", at positions 509 to 807 of the family's 1533-position model. The record is from RNAcentral.
CAGCCGCCACGGGAAUACAGAGGGUGCGAGCGUUAAUCGGAUUUACUGGGCGUAAAGCGUGCGUAGGCGGCUAAUUGAGUCGGAUGUGAAAUCCCCGAGCUUAACUUGGGAAUUGCAUUCGAUACUGGUUAGCUAGAGUGUGGGAGAGGAUGGUAGAAUUCCAGGUGUAGCGGUGAAAUGCGUAGAGAUCUGGAGGAAUACCGAUGGCGAAGGCAGCCAUCUGGCCUAACACUGACGCUGAGGUACGAAAGCAUGGGGAGCAAACAGGAUUAGAUACCCGAGUAGUCCCUGUCUCUUAUAC